Molecule: long non-coding RNA, 2020 nt
Organism: Phyllostomus hastatus (greater spear-nosed bat)
Lineage: Eukaryota; Metazoa; Chordata; Mammalia; Chiroptera; Phyllostomidae
Exons: 3
Source: RefSeq, a predicted model, not a curated record
GAGAACAAGAAAGCUGGGAGUCAGUCAUUCGCAGGCUUAAUGAAGCCAUUAUAGGACCCGUGGGGGUGUGUAUUUGUUUGUUUUCGAAGGGAGAGAAGGAAUGGGAGGGAGACGGCGAUAUCCUAGUAAUAUGGAGGUGGAGGAAGGCAAAGAGGCCCCGAACCAGGGAGGCUGUGGGGGAGGAAAGGAAGGGAACGUGGACAGCCCAAGGAAAGCAGGAAAGCAAGCAGGCAGCAAUGAAGGCGAGGAACCAAGAGCCAGCUGGCACCAGAGCGAGGAGUGACAGCCGCUGCAGGCAAAGGACUGGAGCUGGAGGAGGGAGGGUCUGGCAAUACCGGCAGAACCAGUCUUCUCCCUCCAAGGCUGCGGGGCCUUCCUUCUGAGACUCCCAGCUCUCCAGUCCCCGGGGGUAGACUAGUUUCUCCCACCACUCCCUCGACCCCCCAAAUCAAGAGGACCACGGAGAGAUUCUGAUAGUCUUCUCGCUCCCACCCCGAGUUGGGAAAGACUUGGAACAGAAUAAACGGGAGAAAAGAAGAGAGAUAGAAACAUGGAUGUGGGAGAGAAACAUCGAGAAACUCCGAUCAGUUGCCUCCCAAAAUCGAAAGCGCCCCGACCAGGGAAGCAACCUGCAACCUAACUGCGCCCUGACCAGGAUCCAACCGCAACCUUUUGUUGCAGGGGAGGAUGCUCCAGCCUACUGACCCAGUCAGGGCCCAGUGCAAGGCUUUAGAGGCAGUGUUUGUAAUAAGUCUUGACCACGGACCCACGGAAGGAACGGCUGUAGGACCAGGGUCACGUCGUAUUGAUCACAAAGUCUCAAGUUUCUACGCCUUGAGAUGGGGAAGAAAAGACACCGGGUCUGAAACCAAGGAUUUGAUGGCAAUCCCUGUACAGGCUGCACCCACUUCAGGCAAAAGCACCUUAGAGUCACUAUGCUUGUCAUACACACGUUCAUUUUCUUUAUUAGAGGGACUGCCCGUGGAAACGGAAGGAUUCACUCUAAGACUCCAAUACAGGGCUGUCAUGUAGUCCUGAGUGGGAACACGAGAUCCAGGGACAGAAAAGGGGCGACGGCGCGGUUGGGGUGAGGCAAAGAAGCACAAAUUCAGCUUGACACCACCACCCACUCGCAGCAUCUUUCCUGCUAGAGUGGAGUGUGGCAUCUGCGCAUGUACCCCCCGCCCCCAACCCGCACCGGGCCUUCAGGAGGAGUCAGCCAGUCCUGGGUAGCAAUGGUAUCCGCGCAUGCGUGUCCCGCUCACCUCUUGUCCCCAGUGGGAUGGUGGAGUUCCCUGGAGUAGGAGCAUAAAUACAGCCGCCAGGGGAGGUUUAAAUGGGUGCAGAGUCCGUGGAAGUAGAUGGGCAGGUGUGACUGCUCCUUUCGACUCUAUCAUAAUUUGCAGUCCUUUGAGGAAACUGAAAACCAUAGGACGGAAGGGAGUGGGUGCGUUAGACCCAGAGGAAACCCCUCUCAAUCCCGCCCUCACAUCUCCAUGCCCUAGAAGGGACUCAGUCUGAGAGGUCCAGUGGUCCCCCAGAUCACGCCCCCAAAGAGAGGCCAGAUUUGGACAAUAACCGCGCUGCACCCUACCCCCAUUUUUCCAGUCAGUUCUGGGAGCCCACCCCACACUCUGGGAGCCUCUGAGUCAAAAAAGGGGGUCCCGUGGGGUGGGGCGGGGAGGGGUUGAAAGUCCUGUGUCGAGCUGCCCCUGUAGCCCGGAAGAACCUUUGUUUUCUUCGUGGAUGUGGAGGGAAGACCCCAGAUGAGCCUGGGAAGUGCUGUGAAGAGUGACUUCAGACCACCUAUCAGGAAGUGAAGCCUGAAGGAGGAGGUGCGAAGCCACCCAGUGUGAAAUUGGGUUAAAACUCUGACCCCAGACUCCAGCAAUAAAAAAGGCAAUAUGGAUGGGCCUAGAGGGUAUUAUACUAAGUGAAAUAAGUCAGAGAGAGAAAGACAAAUACUUUAGUAUAUCACCUGCAUGUGGAAUCUAAAGAAUAAAACAAAUGAACAAACAAA